AUAAUCAGACAUAUUCCAAAGAAAAAAAAAGUCAAACAAAUUGAAAAGGAAAACGAAAGUUCUCCUUCUUCAAACAUCCUACCGCCGAAUCUCAUCCUGAACCGUGUUGUCGACUCAUCUCUCCAGUUGAUUCUUUCAGUGUUCACAGUUGUUGAUGAUGAUGCCUUCUGCUCAUGCGACUCUCCCCCUUCCUGCAUCGUAACCACCCAGUCUAAUCACGUUCGUCGCGCCGCUUUCGAGUCCAUCGACAUCACCGUCUUUCUUCCAACGACGACAUAUUCUAUUUCAUCUCUUUUACUCUUUAUUACAUUUGCAUUUUCAUUUUCUCAUUUUUUAAUUAUUUCUCUCUAG
Molecule: long non-coding RNA, 351 nt
Filed under: Vicia faba (fava bean)
Lineage: Eukaryota; Viridiplantae; Streptophyta; Magnoliopsida; Fabales; Fabaceae
Source: RNAcentral